Molecule: ribosomal RNA, 497 nt
Filed under: uncultured bacterium
Lineage: Bacteria
Description: partial 16S ribosomal RNA
Rfam family: Bacterial small subunit ribosomal RNA
Source: RNAcentral
GAUGAACGCUGGCGGCGUGCCUAAUACAUGCAAGUAGAACGCUGAAGGAAGGAGCUUGCUCUUUCCGGAUGAGUUGCGAACGGGUGAGUAACGCGUAGGUAACCUGCCUGGUAGCGGGGGAUAACUAUUGGAAACGAUAUCUAAUACCGCAUAACAGUAGAUGUUGCAUGAUAUCUACUUAAAAGGUGCAAUUGCACCACUACCAGAUGGACCUGCGUUGUAUUAGCUAGUUGGUGAGGUAACGGCUCACCAAGGCGACGAUACAUAGCCGACCUGAGAGGGUGAUCGGCCAAACUGGGAAUGAGAAAAGGCCCAGACUCCUAAGGGAGGCAGCAGUAGGGAAUCUUCGGAAAUGGACGGAAGUCUGACCGAGCAACGCCGCGUGAGUGAAGAAGGUUUUCGGAUCGUAAAGCUCUGUUGUAAGAGAAGAAAGAGUGUGAGAGUGGAAAGUUCACACUGUGACGGUAUCUUACCAGAAAGGGACGGCUAACUACGUG